CAGUGUAUGGAGGCAGGCUGUAGGACAAAGGGCGGGUGGCAGAAGCCGCUUCGACCGGCCGGCUAGGGAGCUAGCUUCCUGCCGGGCUCAGCGCUCUGUUGGUCCUGGGAUAGUGUGGCAGUGACGGCCUUAGCCUCUUCACUACACAGUGCACACAGUUCCUCGUUCACGUCCUCUCGCUCCGUCGCGCCAACCCGCCCUGCCCCUCAAACCGGCGCGCGGCACCGCCAGCCCCAGCGCGGAGGGAAUGUGACGGCGUCAGCGCCUCAGUUUGUUCUCAGGGGAGGCAGUAAGGGGCCGUGGAGCUGGCCUCAGCACCAGGAGAGGCUGGACUUCCUGUCUCUCUGUGCUGAAUGGCUGCGAUGGCGCCCGCUCUCACUGACGCAGCAGCUGAAGCACACCACAUCCGGUUCAAACUGGCUCCCCCAUCCUCCACCUUGUCCCCAGGCAGUGCCGAAAAUAACGGCAACGCCAACAUCCUUAUUGCUGCCAACGGAACAAAAAGAAAAGCCAUUGCUGCAGAGGAUCCCAGUCUAGACUUCCGAAGUAAUCCUACCAAGGAAGACUUGGGAAAGCUGCAGCCAUUGGUGGCAUCAUAUCUCUGCUCGGAUGUAACACCUGUUCCCUCAAAGGAGUCUUUGAAAUUACAAGGGGUCUUCAGCAAGCAGACAGUCCUUAAAUCUCAUUCUCUCUUAUCUCAGUCCUAUGAGCUCCGAGCUGAGCUGUUGGGGAGACAGCCAGUUUUGGAGUUUUCCUUAGAAAAUCUUAGAACCAUGAAUACAAGUGGCCAGACAGCUCUGCCACAAGCGCCUGUAAAUGGAUUGGCUAAGAAAUUGACUAAAAGUUCAACACAUUCUGAUCAUGACAAUUCCAGUUCCCUCAAUGGGGGAAAACGGGGUCUCACUUCAUCUGCUCUACAAGGAGGUGAAGUGGGAUCUGACUCUGGGGACUUAAAGGGGGGUAUGACCAAUUGCACUCUUCCACAUAGAAGCCUUGAUGUAGAACAUACAACUCUAUAUAGCAAUAAUAGCACUGCAAACAAAUCUUCUGUCAAUUCCAUGGAACAGCUGGCACUUCAAGGAAGCAGUAGGUUAUCACCUGGUACGGACUCCAGUACUAACUUGGGAGGUGUCAAAUCAGAGGGCAAAAAGUCUCCCCUGUCUUCCAUUCUUUUCAGUGCUUUAGAUUCUGACACAAGGAUAACAGCUUUACUGAGGCGGCAGGCUGAUAUUGAGAUCCGUGCUCGCAGGCUACAGAAGCGCUUACAGGUUGUACAAGCCAAGCAGGUAGAGAGGCAUUUACAACAUCAGCUGGGUGGAUUUUUGGAGAAGACUUUGAGCAAACUGCCAAACUUGGAAUCCUUGAGGUCCCGGAGCCAGUUGAUGCUGACCCGGAAGGCUGAAGCUGCCUUGAGAAGAGCUGCCAGUGAGACCACCACUUCAGAGGGACUUAGCAACUUCUUGAAAAGUGAUUCAAUUUCCGAAGAAUUGGAGAGGUUUACAGCUAGUGGCAUAGCCAACUUGAGGUGCAGUGAACAAGCAUUUGAUUCUGAUGUCACUGACAGUAGUUCAGGAGGGGAAUCUGAUAUUGAAGAGGAAGAACUGAGCAGAGCUGAUCCUGAGCAGUGCCAUGUACCCCUGUGAGUAGAACCCAUAGUGACACAUAAUGUCAUUUUUGAGAAAUGUUGGGGCAAGGGAGAAAGAUUUAGUGAAUCCCCAUUUUGGAAAGAAUAAAAUUCUUUGUAUAUUGGCAACUAGGUUCCAUUUUUCUUUUUCCUAGUUUUUGGUACCUUGUGAAAAAAUGAAAGAUGUUUCUGCUGUAGUGUUGUGUUUCUGUAGGCUAAAAGUUGAUGAUUUCCUUUUGAAGUCUUACUAAGAAAAAACUGGAGGAAACCCUAUUAGUAAAUAUUUCUUUUGAAACUAUAUGUGGGUCAUUUUGUUAAGGUUAAAAUGGUUUGACUUGAGAUUUUGUUGUUUCUAAUAAGUAGGGACAAGUGUUUAGUUGACUUAGUUAAAUUGGUUGGGAUUUAUAGUUGCUUUUAAUUGAACUUUAUCAGAGAGCAUACUUGGUCUUUAAUUUUAACACUUGAGAUUUUUUUUUUAUUGUUGGAAAACCAGACUUACUUUCCUCUCUUCUCAAACUACAACAGUCGACCCAGAAGACAUCUGUGAUCUUGAAAGGUGUAGGAAUUUCUCCAUACCAGCAAGCUAUCAAUCAUUUCUAUUGGACCUGGAGAUAGUGCCAGAUCCUGUGGGUUCAGGACUCAGUCCUCAAGACUACCCCCCAGCCCAAGUCCCUUCAGAUACCAGUUGUAAGACCCUUGUGGUUUAUCAGUGCUUCUGAGUUUCUCACUGGCUAUAAAUUCUUUUCAUAACACCCUCCUUGGAUUCAGUUAAUUUGAAUAGCUCACAGUACUCAAAUACUAUCUUAAUGUUUGCCUUUUUAAGUAAAUACUACUACAAAGGAUAUAGGGGAGGACAUGCAUUGGGUGAGAUAUGGGGAAAAGAGAGUGGAGCUUCCAUAUCCUCUCUGAAUGUCUGAAUGUGCCAUCUUUUAGGAGCCUCUUUGUGUUCCGCUAUCCAGAAGCUCGCUGAACCAUCCCCCCCCCUCUUUUUUUGCGUGGUGCUGGGGUUUGAACUCAUCG
Non-coding RNA from Castor canadensis (American beaver), 2644 nucleotides. Lineage: Eukaryota; Metazoa; Chordata; Mammalia; Rodentia; Castoridae. The record is from RefSeq and is a predicted model, not a curated record.